This 301-nucleotide ribosomal RNA is filed under the name uncultured bacterium. RNAcentral's name for it is "partial 16S ribosomal RNA". It matches the Rfam family "Bacterial small subunit ribosomal RNA", at positions 509 to 808 of the family's 1533-position model. The record is from RNAcentral.
CAGUAGCCGCGGUAAUGCGUAGGUGGCAAGCGUUGUCCGGAAUUAUUGGGCGUAAAGGGCUCGCAGGCGGUUUCUUAAGUCUGAUGUGAAAGCCCCCGGCUCAACCGGGGAGGGUCAUUGGAAACUGGGAAACUUGAGUGCAGAAGAGGAGAGUGGAAUUCACGUGUAGCGGUGAAAUGCGUAGAGAUGUGGAGGAACACCAGUGGCGAAGGCGACUCUCUGGUCUGUAACUGACGCUGAGGAGCGAAAGCGUGGGGAGCGAACAGGAUUAGAUACCCCUGUAGUCCCUGUCUCUUAUACA